UAAUAUCAAAUAAACAUCAUUAAUUAGAUUUUCACUUAAUCAAAAUAAGAAUUCUGUAAUAUAAUUUGCCACAUUCAGAUUGAAUUGGUGACCUUUUAAGUGCAACAAAAGUACAAUUAUCAAUAGAUAUCGACGAGAAUCUCACCUGCGGAAUUAAUUGUGAAGCACAAGUCUAAUUUAUCAUAGCAAGGAGAUAAUUGAAAGAGUUAUGACUAUUAUGAAAACAAAAAUGAAAUGAACUAGAGGCAACAGAUCUCUUUCCCUACAAGGAACUGAAGCACUGGUCAUGUGCUUGAGGACUGCACCACCUCGGAAAUACACCUGCAAAGCCUUAUAAUCCUUGAAUACCCAACUCUAAGACCAUCAACUGCAGCUUUUAUUUUAGCUGAUAGUGACUCAGGCAGUGAGAUGUAUGUCCCAGAAACGGAAGCUUGUAGCUGACAUGGAAAGAUGUCUGAAGGAUAUAUCCCA
Molecule: unclassified non-coding RNA, 471 nt
Filed under: Hevea brasiliensis (rubber tree)
Lineage: Eukaryota; Viridiplantae; Streptophyta; Magnoliopsida; Malpighiales; Euphorbiaceae
Source: RNAcentral